CCAGCGCGCGGCAGUUCCCCGCCUCUCGGGAAGCUCCGGAUCCUGGCUCCUCAGCACCACCUGGCGACCAGUUGCUGACACAGCAGGCCGGGCCAGGGGCGCGGCAGAACUGGGCGGGGCUUUGAUUUUGGAGCGCGGCCAGCGAGUCCCCAGAGCUCUGUCCCCUGAGACGUGGGCUUAUUUCUACACACGCAAAGGGAGAAGAUAGAAUCCACAGAUACUGAAAUAUGUGUAAGGGCUAACCAAAGCAGCUGGGAUCAGACCAAAGCUGUGAAGGAGAAUGGAAAAGAAAUUCAAAGAGAAGAGACCCCGUGGGGGCAGAUGUCAGGAAUGCACCAGUGAAAACACUCUUCCGAAAGACAAAGGUGGAUCUAUUUCUUUUGUUUGCAACAACAGGUGUGGACACAGUUCAGCAAGACAAACAACAAAAGCCCUCCUGGAUCUGGUUUGGAUCAAGGAAGCCAAGAAGAUGAGGAUGCCACCCAGGGACGGCCAUAUUUGCAGGAAGCAGUUGGUCUGUGGCAGUAGAACAGAACAGACUGGAAAUACACUUGUUGGGGAGGAUGUAGAGGAAUUGCAAGUCUCAUCCACUGCUGGUGGGAGUGGACAGCGAUGCAACCACUUCAGAAAAUUGUCUUGAUGGUUUUUUAUGCAGUUAAACACAUAACUAUCCUGUGAUCCAGCAAUUCUACUCCUAGGUAUUUACCCAGAAAAAAUACGUUUAUCCCCACCAGGGCCUAGAUUAGGGUGAGGCAAGCAAGGUUGCCUCAGGUGAGAAAUUUAAGGAGGCACUCACUUUUAGGAUUGUACAGGUGCGGGGUUGGCACUUAGAGCCAUGGACACGAGCCAGUGCCUCCUUAAAUUUUGUGACCUAGGCUUCCUGUCCUGCCUCACCCUAAUCCAGACUGUGGUCCACACAGACUUGUAUUCAAAUGUUCACAGCAGACAACUUCAUAAAGUGAAAUAAGUGACAACCCACAUAUUUAUCAGUAGGUGAGUUGGUAAACAAACUGGCAGAUAGAGCAGAAAGGAACUAUUGAUACGUGCAGAAAUGUGGCUGAAUCUCAUUAUGGCUAAAUGGAAGAAGCCAUACACACAAGACUGCAUACUAUUAUGAUUCCGUUCAUAUAAAUUUAAAGAAUGGGCAAAACUGAAUCUAGUGACGGAAAGCUGAACAAUGGUCUCUUGACAAGUGUGGGUGGGGAUUGGCUGCGAAGGGAGACAGAGAGCUUUCUGGAGUGAUUCUAAUAGUCUAUAUAUUGAUUGGGAUGCUGGUUAUGUGAGUUUAUUUACUUAUUAAAUUAAAUACUUAUUAAGGAUUAAAUUAAA
Molecule: long non-coding RNA, 1329 nt
Organism: Suricata suricatta (meerkat)
Lineage: Eukaryota; Metazoa; Chordata; Mammalia; Carnivora; Herpestidae
Exons: 2
Source: RefSeq, a predicted model, not a curated record